Molecule: ribosomal RNA, 500 nt
Filed under: uncultured bacterium
Lineage: Bacteria
Description: partial 16S ribosomal RNA
Rfam family: Bacterial small subunit ribosomal RNA
Source: RNAcentral
AUUGAACGCUGGCGGCAUGCCUUACACAUGCAAGGCGAACGGCAGCGCGGACUUCGGUCUGGCGGCGAGUGUCGAACGGGUGAGUAAUGUAUCGGAACGUACCUUUCAGUGGGGGAUAACGUAGCGAAAGUUACGCUAAUACCGCAUAUUCUGUGAGCAGGAAAGCAGGGGAUCGCAAGACCUUGCGGUGAUUGAGCGGCCGAUAUCAGAUUAGCGAGUUGGUGAGGUAAAGGCUCACCAAGGCGACGAUAUGGAGCGGGUCUGAGAGGAUGAUCCGCCACACGGGAACUGAGACACGGUCCGGACUCCUACGGGAGGCAGCAGUGGGGAAUUUUGGACAAUGGGGGCAACCCUGAUCCAGCCAUGCCGCGUGAGUGAAGAAGGCCUUCGGGUUGUAAAGCUCUUUCGGCCGGGAAGAAAUCGUACGGGUUAAUACCCUGUGCGGAUGACGGUACCGGCAUAAGAAGCACCGGCUAACUACGUGCCAGCCGCCGCCGUAA